This 492-nucleotide ribosomal RNA is filed under the name uncultured bacterium. RNAcentral describes it as "partial 16S ribosomal RNA". It matches the Rfam family "Bacterial small subunit ribosomal RNA", at positions 29 to 507 of the family's 1533-position model. The record is from RNAcentral.
AAUGAACGCUGGCGGCAUGCCUAAUACAUGCAAGUCGAACGAACGCACAGUAAGCUUUCGCCUCUAAUGUUGGCGGGUGGCGGAUGGGUAACACGUAGAUCAGCAACCUCUAAUUCUUGGGUGACUUCGUGGGGCCAUAGCUAAUAAUAUCUCAUAUUUUGAACCGCAUGGUGCAGAAGUUAUAGGCGGUCUUGCUGUCACUAAUAGCUGAUGUCGGAUUAGCUAGUUGGUGAGGUAAAGGCCUACCAAGGCAACGAUGCGUAGCAGAUCUGAGAGGAUGAUCGGCCACACUGGAACUGAGACACGGUCCAGACUCCUACGGGAGGCAGCAGUGGGGAAUCUUGGACAAUGGGCGAAAGCCUGAUCCAGCAAUGCCGCGUGAGUGAAGAAGGUCUUCGGAUCGUAAAACUCUGUUAUUAGGGAAGAAAAGAUGCGUAAUUAACUGUGCAUAUUCUGACGGUACCUAAUCAGAAAGCCCCGGCUAACUACGUG